Molecule: transfer RNA, 73 nt
Filed under: Candidatus Woesearchaeota archaeon
Lineage: Archaea; Nanobdellati; Candidatus Woesearchaeota
Description: tRNA-Thr
Rfam family: tRNA
About the family: Transfer RNA (tRNA) molecules are approximately 80 nucleotides in length. Their secondary structure includes four short double-helical elements and three loops (D, anti-codon, and T loops). Further hydrogen bonds mediate the characteristic L-shaped molecular structure. tRNAs have two regions of fundamental functional importance: the anti-codon, which is responsible for specific mRNA codon recognition, and the 3' end, to which the tRNAs corresponding amino acid is attached (by aminoacyl-tRNA synthetases). tRNAs cope with the degeneracy of the genetic code in two manners: having more than one tRNA (with a specific anti-codon) for a particular amino acid; and 'wobble' base-pairing, i.e. permitting non-standard base-pairing at the 3rd anti-codon position.
Source: RNAcentral
GCCUCCGUAGCAUAGUAGCUAUUGCGUCUGACUUGUAAUCAGAAGGUCGGGAGUGCAAAUCUCCCCGGGGGCU